GUAGGUGGCAAGCGUUGUCCGGAAUUAUUGGGGCGUAAAGCGCGCGCAGGAGGUUCUUUAAGUCUGAUGUGAAAGCCCACGGGCUCAACCGUGGAGGGCCAUUGGAAACUGGAGAACUUGGGUACAGAAGAGGAAAGCGGAAUUCCACGUGUAGCGGUGAAAUGCGUAGAGAUGUGGAGGAACACCAGUGGCGAAGGCGGCUUUCUGGUCUGUAACUGACGCUGAGGCGCGAAAGCGUGGGGAGCAAACAGGAUUAGAUACCCUGGUAGUCCACGCCGUAAACGAUGAGUGCUAAGUGUUAGGGGUUUCCGCCCCUUAGUGCUGCAGCUAACGCAUUAAGCACUCCGCCUGGGGAGUACGGCCGCAAAGGCUG
RNAcentral lists this ribosomal RNA (373 nucleotides) under uncultured organism. Its description in RNAcentral is "partial 16S ribosomal RNA". It matches the Rfam family "Bacterial small subunit ribosomal RNA", at positions 527 to 896 of the family's 1533-position model. The record is from RNAcentral.